Molecule: ribosomal RNA, 465 nt
Filed under: uncultured bacterium
Lineage: Bacteria
Description: partial 16S ribosomal RNA
Rfam family: Bacterial small subunit ribosomal RNA
Source: RNAcentral
CCUACGGGAGGCAGCAGUGGGGAAUAUUGCGCAAUGGGCGAAAGCCUGACGCAGCGACGCCGCGUGAGGGAUGAAGGUCUUCGGAUCGUAAACCUCUGUCAGCAGGGCAGAACGGUCACUGUGCUAAUCAGCAGUGAAUUGACGGUACCUGCAAAGGAAGCACCGGCUAACUCCGUCCACGCAGCCGCGGUAAUACGGGGGGUGCGUGCGUUCAUAGGAUAUAAUGGGCGUAAAGCGCUCGUAUGCGGUAUGUCAAGUCAAGGGUGAAAUCCCCGCGCUCAACGUGGGAACUGCCUUUGAAACUGGCAAACUGGAGUGUGGGAGAGGAUAGUGGAAUUCCAGGUGUAGGAGUGAAAUCCGUAGAUAUCUGGAGGAACAUCAGUGGCGAAGGCGACUAUCUGGCACAUAACUGACGCUGAGGAGCGAAAGCGUGGGUAGCAAACAGGAUUAGAUACCCUAGUAGUC